UCAACACAGACGCUGUGUAUCGAUACUUGUUGAAUUCCAGGUACUCGCGGAUGAGCUCGUUGAUUAGAAGGUUGUCGUGCGACAGCACAGGACGCGGCUCGCUCUGAUCGUCGAGCGCAUUGAACACCUCAGCUCUGAUCCGAGCCUUCAGCUGACCCAACACACCUCGAGACUCCAGGCUCUCUCUCAGAGCUGGGAGAGAAGAUAAGCUGUUGAAAAUGGUAUCUUAAAAACCUCUGCAACUUGUGGGGACAUAUUGGUAACGUAGACUUAAGGGUGAUGCCUUUCAGUGCCCAGUCCAGGCCCUUGCGGUACUGCAGUCCAUAGUCUUGGAACUCUAUAGUGCCAGUCUGAGGCCAGGCCAGAGGCAGGGAACUGCCCUCCACAGUCCACACAGCCUGGCUCCACAUGCUUGAUCAGCUGGGACGUGAGAGGAAUUAACCAGGUGGUGAAGCGUAUCCUCAUCUUAUGUCCUUAAGUCUGGACGUUGUUUUUCUCCAAGAGACCCAUCUCCGGUCCAGCGACCAUGAUGAACUAAAGAGAGGAUAAGUAGACCAAAUAUUCCACUCCAACUUUGGUGCUAUGGCCAGAGGGGCAGCCAUCCUUAUCAGAAAAGGCACCCUGUUUGUCUCCUCCAAAGUCAUUUCAGAUACUAAUGGAAGAUAUAUUAUAGUCAUGUGGAAAUGGUUUAGCACACAGGUUAUUCUGGCUAACCUCUAUCGUCCUAAUUGGGAUGACGGCAGGGUAGCCUAGUGGUUAGAGCGUUGGACUAGUAACCCGAAGGUUGCAAGUUCAAACCCCCGAGCUGACAAGUUACAAAUCUGUCAUUCUGCCCCUGAAUAGGCAGUUAAACCACUGUUCCUAGGCUGUCAUUGAAAAUAAGAAUUUGUUCUUAACUGACUUGCCUAGUUAAAAAAAGGUCAAAUAAAAAAUGACGCAACAUUUUUCUCUGACUUCAUCGCAAUACUUCCUGACCUUAACACUCAUCAUUUGAUAUUGGGCGUAGAUUUCAAUUGUGUAAUGCAUCCAAGUCUAGACAGAUCCAGACCGAAGCCCAACAAUGUAAUUUCAAAAUCAGGCGCAGUAAUCAACUCAUUUCUAGAAUCCUAUAAUUUGUCUGAUCCAUGGAGGAGGAGCUAUCCCACUACUAAACAGUACUCCUUUUUUAUUCUCCAGUCCACAGCUCAUACUCUAGGAUUGACUUUUUCCUGCUGGACAAUAGAAUUCUUCAUUUUGUAACUAAUAGCCAAUAUCGCAGCAUCUUUAUGUCAGACCAUAGCCCUGUCCUAUCUCAGACCGUAGCCCUGUCCAGCUAGAUAUCAGCUUUCCGGACAGUACUGUGUCACAAAGCGCAUGGAGACUUGACCCACUACUACUAUCCUGUAGUGCCUUUAAAAAAUACACAUCAACUCACAUUGAUGUCUUUUUACAGAUCAACUGCACCCCUGAUGUGUCUCACUCUGCUG
Molecule: long non-coding RNA, 1466 nt
Organism: Oncorhynchus gorbuscha (pink salmon)
Lineage: Eukaryota; Metazoa; Chordata; Actinopteri; Salmoniformes; Salmonidae
Exons: 3
Source: RefSeq, a predicted model, not a curated record